CCAGGUCUCCAGCUCCACCUGCAAGUCAUUAGAAACACUCAGGUACAGAGGCAGGGACACAGCAGAGACAGCCAGGAUCCCUGCCACUCACGCACACAAAUCCCAGAUAGAAUGUUCCCCGUGCCCAGGCAUCCGGGUACUCUGUCCCUUCACCGCUGAGUAACCUGCCCUGCUCACACCUGCAAUUUUAGCAUACUGCCUGCUCCUACUACAGACUCCAGGUAUGUUACCAUCCUGACUCUGAAAUAUCACGGCACAUCACACACCCGGACACCCAGAAACACUGCCCUUUUAGACCUGAGCUACGCAGUGGCACAAACUCACUCAUACACACCUGAGACGACAUCUCCCUUCCUCCAACAUGAGACAUCUCCCUUCCUCCAACAUGAGACAUGUUUGCCUACCACACACACUGGAGAUGCUCAGAUAUGACAACCACACCAUACCUCAGACAUGUAGGUAGAGCACGCACACACACGAAGGUACACUGCCUCCCACAUGCUGCCACACACACACACUGAGACCUACAGAUAUACUGCAAAACAUGGCCGAGACUCCCAAAUACAUGUCCUCUUUUUUUUUUUUUUUGAGACGGAGUCUCGCUCUGUCAUCUAGGCUGGAAUGCAGUGGCGUGAUCUCAGCUCGCUGCAACCUCCGCCUCCCGGGUUCAAGCAAUUCUUCUGCCUCAGCCUCCCAAGUAGCUGGGACUACAGGCGCGUGCCACCAUGCCCGGCUAUUUUUUGUAUUUUUAGUAGAGAUGGGGUUUCACCAUAUUGGCCAGGCUGGUCUUGAACUCCUGACCUCGUGAUCCGCCCGCCUCGGCCACCCAAAGUGCUGGGAUUACAGGCGUGAGCCACUGCGCCCGGCCGAUAUAUGUCGUCUUAACGCUGAGACAUUUCAGCAUGCGGCCACAAAACGCCCAGGCUCAUCUGUGUCCUUCCAUGAGAUGUUCCUUGUACAUACGUGUCACAUCCAUGGGACAUGGCAGUUCACUGCCUCCAAACACCUAGAUACACUGCCCCACACGGCUAAGACACAAAGGUCCACAUGAACACAACACACAGACAUCGAGUGACUCUCAGGCUGCCAGCAAGGAUCUGUGCUUGGGGGCCAGUCCCUGUGUGGAUCCUACGUGGGAUAGGAAAAUCUUCAUAAUGCUGUUCUAUGGUAUUGUUUUCUUGCCGAUUCUUUUGCCCUCCAACCAGGAUCGCUCAUCACACUAUAAUUGUUACUGCACAUCUGCGAUCCCUGUUAGAGGUUCUGUAGCUCCACAGGGUAGGGGCUGGGCCUGGCUUGUUCAUACUUGUGUUCUAAGUACCUAGGACAGUGUGGGCAUAUAAUAGGCCUGAUACAUGUUGGUUGUAAAGAAGUCUCCUCAGUCUAAUCCUCAUUGUUGUGUAGAUGAUCUCUUUUUACUCCCUGCUUUUAAGAUAUCAUUGGUGUUUUGUAGUUUUGUCACAAUGUAUCUAGAUGUUUAUUUAUUCUAUUUAUUCUGCUCAAUAUGUUGUACUUCCUGUAUGUAUGAAUUCACAUCUUUUAUCGUAUUUUAUCAUAUUGGAAAGUUCUCAGAAACCAUCCAGAUAUUAUUUUUCCUCUGUCCUCUGUGCUCUCUCCUUUGCCAACUCUGAUUAGGAGUGUUCUAGACCUUUUCAUUCUGUACUCUGUGUCUUUUAACCUGUCUCCUGUAUCUUUCAUCUCUUUGUGUCUUGGUGAUACAUUCAGGUAAUCUCUUCCAGUCUGUCUUCCAGUUCACUAAUUCUCUCUUUGGUUACAUCUGAUGUGCUGUUUAAUCCUUACAUGGAAGGGUUUUUUAAUUUUAUUUUUUGGUUGUUGUUAUACUCAUAUGAAAAUUACUCUACUUGGCCAGCCACCGUGCCCGGCCGAAAAUUACUCUA
This 1895-nucleotide long non-coding RNA is filed under the name Homo sapiens (human). RNAcentral describes it as "HSALNT0236714". Lineage: Eukaryota; Metazoa; Chordata; Mammalia; Primates; Hominidae. The record is from RNAcentral.